This is a long non-coding RNA of Brassica napus (rape), 4568 nucleotides long. RefSeq lists it as uncharacterized. The transcript is spliced from 2 exons. NCBI's taxonomy places the organism in Eukaryota, Viridiplantae, Streptophyta, Magnoliopsida, Brassicales, Brassicaceae. The record is from RefSeq and is a predicted model, not a curated record.
CAUGUUUGAAAAAAUAUCCUUUAACUUCUUGGCCACUUUUAGAUUGGCUAGAGAGAAAAACAGAGAAACAUCUGUGAAAGCAAAUGGUUAACUGCAGGUGCCUGAAUUGCUAUUUUAACUCCAAGGAGGAAACAGUCAUUCAUUGCUGUAGUAGACAGAUGAGACAGAACUUCAGCACAGAGAAUAAAAAUAUAAGGAGAUAGAUGAUCUCCUUGUCUUAAUCCUCUAUUUGGUGUAAUAAAACCUUCUAGAGCUCCACUUAUUAACACUGAAUAUGUGACUGUAGAAAUACAUGACAUGAUCCACCAUAUCCAUUUCUCUCAAAAUCCCAUAUACUGCAUCGUUUCUUGUAGAAAUUUCCAUUCAAGCCGGUCGUAGGCUUUUGUAAUAUAUGUUUUAACCGCCAUGUAAGAGUUAGCUUGCCUCUUUCGAGCCUUAAAACUGUGAAAUAUUUUGUGAGCCACCACUAUACUGUCUGAAAUCAAUCUGCCUCGUAUGAAAGCAUUAUGAUUCUCCGCGACAAUGUUAGGUAGAUGGACCUUCAACCGGUUAACUAAGAUUUUUGAAAUAAUCUUAUAUGAAACAUUGCAUAAAGCAAUGGGACAAAAAUCCUUCAUACCCGUUGGAGGAUAGAUUUUUGGUAUGAAACAGAGGUUUGUAUGAUUAUGUUGUUGAUCCAAUUCACCUAAGUUGAAAAAUUUCUCUUUUUCUUCCGUUAUAUCAGCUUUGCAUUCUACCCAAAACUUCUGAUAGAAGACCGCUGAGAAUUCAUCAGGACAAGAAGCACGAUGGGGUCCCAUAUCAAACAGAGCAUCUUGAAUUUCUUCUUCAGUGACUCGGUCUUACUAAGUCAUCAUUCAUAUCCUGAGCGACCCGCUGUGUAAAACCCGAGAAAACCUCUUCAUAUAGAUCCAAAUUAGUUUCUUCAGAAGCAUAUAAAUUCUGAAAGUAUGUUGUAGCAACAUCUGAAAUUUCUUUAUGACCUUUACAUAUGACUCCUUGAUCAUUUUGGAUGAAACUAAUUGUGUUCCUAACUCGUCUGGCUUUGGUAACUGCAUGAAAUUAACAUUUAUUUCUAUCCCAUGCCCGUAGCUACAUAAUUAUGCUCUUCUGCUUCCAAUAAAUCUCCUCCUCUAAGUAUGCUUGGUGAAGAUCAUCUUUAAUAACAUUCUUUUCCUCUGUAGAAAAGGCACUAGAAAUGAAAGCUUUAUCCAACUUACUCCUUAAAAUCCCAAUCCUUUCCUCGGUGUUGUUUCUGUUAAGUUUUUUCCAUUUGUAGAUAAGUUUUCUGCAUCGACUGAUCAUUUGUGCUAGUGGUACACGAACUAGUACCGAACUAGUUGUGCUUGGCCCAUACCACUCAAUCCUAUACGCACUGAAUCCUGAAAGCCAUCUUUAUUAAACAUACGGUUAUCAUAUCUGAAAAAUCUUCUAGGUAUUUCUCUUUUUGCCGACAUAAAUGUAACCAUUGGACGAUGAUCUGAUUCACCUAUCUUAAGAUACUCCAUAUGAGAGACUGGGUAAAGAUCAAACCAACUACCAUUCGCCAUCGUAUGAUCCAGAUAACAUCUAACAAGAUGUUUUCCUCUUUGACCAGCCCACGAGAAACGAUAUCCCACAGACUGAAGAUCAGUGAAUUCACACACUCGCAUCAUCGUUCUGAAUUCAUGAAAUGAAGCUUCAGGAUGUAUUAUACCCCUAUCUUUUCUUGAUUACUGAUUAUCUCAUUGAAAUCACCAAGUGCAAACCAAAGUUCACUCCUUCUGUUUAUACCAAGUCUCAUCAGUUUUUUUCAAGUAUGAUGUCUUUACACUUGAUUAGGAUGACCAUAGACAAACGACAAGUUCACUGCAGGAAACUUUACAAUCAAUGAGAUUUGCAGAGCUAAUAACAGAAAGCUGAACAUGAUGCUUAAAAAAGAUAACCAAACCACCACCUAUUCCAAAUAGGGAAACUAAAACAGAAUACACAUUGCCAAGCUGAGCACCAACAUCCUAACGUAAUCAUCUUGUUGCUUAAAUUCUUAUAGGCAUAUGAUGUCCGGGAAAUAUUUCCUAUCUAUCUCCUUAAGCCAUCGAACUGUCGAUUCACUGCCUAGACCUCGACAGUUCCAACUGAGUGUCCUCAUGGUGGCAGUGGUGGUUCUGGGCCCACCGCGCCUCUCUGCUCUGCGUGAUCUGCUUCCUGUCCCUCUGCAACCUCUUCCUCGCCAGAUCAUCUCUUUCGCUUCACUUUAUUACUCCUACUAGUUUCCAAGUCUCCAGAUUAGUAAACUUUGACGCAUUGCAUUAGCAUCUUGCAUCCAUGCUUUCCUCUUAUGACUCAUAUUGCCACCAUUGCGAACCUCAUUGAACAUCUCCACAUGGUUGUAAUCCUCUGAGAACAUCAUCUCUCUGUAUGCUCCACUCCAUAACUCUUUAUCAUCAUUCUCUGUCUCCAAAGCCACAACAUUGCACUCAUACUCUGCUUGCACAUGAUCUCCCUCUUGUUCUACUUCUUCUGCUCUUGCCUCAUCCUCAUGUACUUCCUCUAUUAUGACCCCUUGAUUAGGAACCAUCUCCUCCUCAUCAUUAUCGUCCCCAGUAUCAUCAUUGCCAUCAUCUGGUCCAGGCCCUCUAUUGUUGAUAACGAAAGCUCCAGUGUCAUGAGUGAGCAACCCAAAAGCUUCUCAAAAACCACGUAGACACUCAUAUUGGAAGUUGAGAAACGUGUUCACACCAGGGGUGAAUUGAAAGUUUAUCUGAAACUUCAGAGGAUGAGCCACAUUCCAAUUCAACCUUACACGAACAAACUCCAAUGUUCCACCAAGUUCUUCAUUGUACUCCAUCUGAAUGUACUGACCCAUUACUCUUGCGAUAUGACGAUCACUUCACGAUUCAUGAAUUGGUAAGGAAUGCCUCGAAUUUGUAUCCAAAACGGAAUGAAGUUAAGCAACUCCAAAUCCAUCAACGACAUCCACCUCUGCAAGACAAACAUUCGUUCAGCGUAUGCCCAUGGACCUCUCCGAAUAACCGUCUCCAUAGCCUCCUCAUACGGAAACACGAAUUGGAACCAUCUCCUUUCAAUGAUACGACCACAAACAACACCCUCCAAACCCUAGGUUCGAGGCAUAGAUGCUACAAUUUCCCGUAGGAUCUGACGUCUUGGCAUGACUGGUCUUCCAAUGAUGAUGAAGUGAUUCUCCUCCUCCGCUUGUCAGACCACCCCAAAUUGAUAUCUUGAAUUGAUCUUCGUAAACCCUCGGACAUUGUUCUCAGAAAGAUGAUAAAAUUCCAGAAGUAAAUCAAGAGAUUUGCUAACGAAUUGAAGGAAAUUGUGGUAGAAACUUUCCCUAAAAUUAGGAUUUUAUACACACAAAUUCUUCCUAACGGUUGUGUAGUUACUUCAUCACGAAAGAAAAUGGUUUCCUUCGUGGGGGAGGAAACACAUCAUGGGUAGUUUCCGACAAGGACGCCCCAAUCUGUCAUCAAAAUCACAUUCAACCACGAAGAUCGUGGCGAGAAAAUUCAGGAACCCUAGCCGUUCUAAAAUUGCUUUUACAGUCGCCAUUGUACUUUACAAAUUUUUUUAUUGAUUGUAAAUAUUACAUCUAAUGUUUUGAAAUAAUUUCUUUACUUGUUCUUCAAAAUAUUUUACAAUAGAAACUAUAAUAUAUCACUAGAACUUGAUACGCGCCCCCGCGCGGAUGUUUGAUUUAAUUUGUGUUCAACUAAACUCAUAAACCGCUGAUUUUAUAAAAAAAUCUCAUGUAUAUUUUUUAUGUUUUGUAAUUUACACAUAGUAGAAUAUAUUAUUUUAUAAUAUAGAUGUUUGAUAAUAAUUUUUUAUAGGUAGGACAAGGAGAUGUUGGUAUUGCCUCUCUCAAGUUUGAGUACGAGAAUGAAACUAGUGAGAUGAUUGUGGUCAAAGAACAUGGAAAGAAAACGUUGCUUGGUUACCAGGAGUUUGAGGUGGAUUAUCCGAGUGAAUACGUUACAUCUAUAGAAGGUUGUUACGAUAACGUAGUUGGAGCUGGAAGUGGAGUUAUAACAAUGCUUAGGUUCAAGACUAACAAACGCACCUCUCCACCAUUCGGACUCGAAUCUGCUUCCAGCUUUGCCGUCCAGAAGGAAGGUUACAAGAUCGUCGGAUUCCACGGAAAAUCCAGUGCCCUGAUUAAUCAGAUUGGGGUCCAUGUCGUUCCCAUCACCGAGUGACCAAUCAUUUGAAACUAUCCAACGAAUCGUCCUCUCUUGUAUCUGUCUUAGGACAUCUUCAUCUCUACUCCAUAAUUUACUCCAAAAAUGGAGUAUGAACAAAAAAUAAAAAAUUACUCCAUUUAUGGAGUAAACUUUUAUUUUGUUGGUCAUACUCAAUUUUCCAGUCCAUUUUUAGAGAAAAUUAUGGAGUAGGGAUGGAGAUGGUCUUACACCGUUAUUUAUGUUGCAAUAUGAUUUGCUAUCAUGUUGUUGUUUGGCUUGUUUUCCAUUUAUGCAAUCGCAUGUAAUAAGACAAUGUUUCUGUUUCUUAUGUCUACCUUUCUUGAAAGUUGACUUCAGCUCAUAUUUAGCAGACCCAUCCUUAGAGUU